RNA transcript from Oreochromis aureus, 4208 nucleotides. It is a transcript of the gene named C-C motif chemokine 3-like, with no coding region annotated. Lineage: Eukaryota; Metazoa; Chordata; Actinopteri; Cichliformes; Cichlidae. The transcript has 4 exons. The record is from RefSeq and is a predicted model, not a curated record.
CACUUUCCUUAGAACUGCACUGAACAUGCAGAUGAGAAAGCGACUUAAAGUGGGGUGAACGAAGUGAUGAAUUCAGACAAAAUCAGUCAUCAUUUGAACAUCAGUAUCAUCAGGUCUACAGUGCAGUAAGUAUGAAGACUCUCAGCCUGACGGUGGGACUGCUGCUCGUGGUGUUUGCAGUUUACCACAGCGAUGCCUAGUGAGAUAGCCAUGAUGUCAGUGUCACUGAUGUGUAUUGUCACGAAGACCAACGUUAAUCUCAAGUGAGCUGUAAGUUCUUCACUGUAAUUUCCUGGUGUGAGCUGGUUGGUAAAUGUCUGACAUCCCUAAUUGAGAUUAUGUUUGUCCUUACAUUAUAUUUUACCUGUGAGAUUUUUGCUUAAUAAUCUUGGUCAAAGUCAUAGAAUAGGAGCCUUUAAAUUGUAUUGUUCAUUAAGAUAUAACAGAUUGUCUGGUUGUUAAGUGAUGACGUAUGAACCCUGCUUCCGGGUCUGCGUUUAUUAAGGCUGUUGUAUUUUUAACAUGUUUAAAUGUUUGUAUCUUGUUCUCUUUAAUCUGAACCCCCUAAAAAACCCCAGCAGUGAUCACUGUCAGCCUCUCUUGGUUUUUAUUACCACUAUUCAUAGGCAGCAUGUUUUAAAGUCAGUUUUUAAAACCUUACAGCGUAACUACAGCCCAGCCCAUGCAGCAGCAUAUUAAUGAUCGACCUUGUAUUGUGACAAUGCGACAUAAGAAGACCUUUUACAAAUAUUUGCAAAUUGUAAAUUUUCCAUGUGGGAGACGGAGGAGUGAAUAUUACUUUAAGGUUCUUUACAGUUCCCAUAAAGAGGUGGGGCAUUGUAAAGGGAAAGCAUGUUAAGAGUUCUAAUUAUGUCAGUUAUUUUGUAGACACUGACGAUCCUCUAUUUCUACUAACAUAUCUGAACUUUUAAUUUUUCAGUCAAACAGUCAGUGACCUUUCCAUUUCUUGCAAUUGAGGUAAAACGAUUUGUAGUAUCAAACAUUUCUGUUGAAAAGCAUUUAAAAAUGACUUCCUUGUGAUUGUAUAUGACCACCAACCAAUCAAACUACAUUUUGCACCAUAUCUACUGUUCAACUCAUAUCUAAUCAGCCAAUCAGCCAAAGGAGAUUUAAGGGACUUUGAAUGUGGUGUGGUUGUUGGUGCCAGUUGAGCUGGUCUGAAUAUUUCAUAAAUGGCUGAUUUACUUGAAUUUUCCCACACUUUAGAGUCUCUAGGGUUUACAGAGAAGGGUCUGAUAAAGAGGAAAUAUCCAGUGAGUGGCUGUUCUCUGGGAGAAAAUACUUUGUGAAGGCCAGAGGAAAAUAGACUGAUUUGAGCUGAUAGAAAUCGAACAGUUAUUCAGAUAACCACUGCAAAACCACUUAAUGUCACUCGUGUCAGUUACAAAAAUUAACAUUAGGCUGAAAUUUGUUCUAACUCACCAAAAUGAGACAAUAGAGGAUUUGAAAAAUGUUGCUUGGUGUGAUGUGUUUAGCUGCGACAUUUAGAUGGUAGGUUCAGGAUUUGAUGUAAACAACAUGACAUCCUAGAUCCAUUCUCCCAUGUAUUAAAAACUCAAGCGUAGGUGUUGAUUACCUGGAUCUUGUGCUUUCCAUUCAGCUGACUCCUCAGGACUUGUCUUACCCUCUGCAGGUAAGGCAGGUCAUCUUGGUUCCCACUUGCCUGUGGGAUUCCUAGGUAUCUGUAGCUGUCCUCGAUGUCUGUAAUGUUACCGUCUGGUAGUACAAUCACCUCAGUUCUGACUACCUUCCCUCUCUUCGUUACCAUCCCACUACACCUCUCCAGUCCGAUUGACAUUCCGAUGUUGACGCUGUAGAUCAGGGGUGGAGAACUCCAGGGCUCGAGGGCCGGUGUCCUGCAGGUUUUAGAUAUCACCCUGGGUCAUGUCGUGAAAAUUUCAAGUAACCUGCAAAGACUCAGUGAGUGUUUUUUGAAGUGGAGUUUAUUAUAUACAUUUCUUAUUUCUUAUAUACAAACUGGUAAAAUUCAGAGACAAAGAGAAUUCCAGAGCACAUCACGUCACUCUAUACCUGCCAGUUCAGCUCAUCCUUGAAACCUUCCCUUCAGAGAGAAUUACAACCAGCUAUCACCUCCCUUUUCCCCCCAGAAAUGAGCAACAGGUCCCCCCGCACACAGGUGCCUGGAUGUCUCUGGCCGAUUACAAUGGCCCCACUGUGAAGGUGUGAUAAAGCAUAAAGACACAUUUGUGAUGUAAUCCUAUAUGUAUAUAACUAAAUGACAAAAAGUGAUAUUACUAUUACAAAAGUGAUCAAUACAUAAAAUAAAGAAAUUUCCCAUCACUGUCAACACACCUGAAUCAAAUGAUUAGUUCAUUACCAGGCCUCUGGAGACUUCAAGACAUGUUGAGGAGGUCAUUUAGCCAUUUAAAUCAGCUGUUUUCAAUCAAGGGCAUGUCUAAAUCCUGCAGGACACCGGCCCUCGAGGCCUGGAGUUCCCCCACCCCGCUGUAGAUCCUUCACUGCAGCCUGAGUAAAAGAAAGUUGUGCAGAAAGUGAAGAUUGGGACUCCGCAUGCAUUAUCAGUGCAUGUACUUAUUUGUAAAAUAAUGAGUGGUUUGUUUGAGUUUGUUUUAUCAGAUAUAUUGAGUCCCUUAAACUGUUGUCUUAUGGUACAGAAAAACCCCAAUCUAUUAACCACCUUUGGGUUGAGGAUCAUUUUUCCCAGUUUCUUAGAAUUUGUUUGAAUAUGCAGAUGAGAAUGUGGCUUGAAGAAGGGUCAUUGGACCGAUCACUUCAGACACGUCAUCAUCAGGUCUACAGUACAGUCAGCAUGAAGACUCUCAGCCUGACGGUGGGACUGCUGCUCGUGCUGUUCACCGUUUACCACAGCGAUGCCUCUAAGGCAGUGAUUUCACCUGACCUUUGCUGUUUUCACUUCUUUGACAAACGGAUCCCAAAGGCGAACAUCGUCUCCAUCGUGAAAACUCACAGUCAGUGCUCCACACCAGCAUUUGUGAUCAAGACACCCAGAGGGCUUUUCUGUGUGAAACAGACUGUGAAGUGGGCAAUGGAACAAUUUGUCAAACAAGAGAGAGCGAAAAUUGAACCAAUGCUACAGUUAACACUUCAAAAAUCACAAAAUACUGUCAGUCCAUGAAGUUACUUUGUAAACUGUUGCUGGAAUUUUAACCCCUUCAUUCUUUACCUGCUUAAUUACAGCUGCAGAAUAUAGAAGACAUUGAUUUUAUGCUGGUUUCAUUUUUUUCUACAUUAUCACAAUAUCAGCUUCAUAAUUUGGGAAUUAUGUUAAUCCCGUAUGUAAAACUCAGUUGAUAAAGUGUCUUCCCUCAUUAAUAUCCCAUAAUCAUCUGAAGGUGGUCUUACUGUAAGAUGGGAGCAUUUAAGAGCCACAUGAAGUGCCAGACGACAUAAAGUUAGAUGGCAGGAUUAGUGAGUGCAAAGACAGAGUGCUGAAAAAGUCUCCAAUGUUUUGUUGACUAAGUAACUCCAGAGUUCCUCUUCUGGAAUUCAAAUUGAGGUGUGGGUUUUCAUGGCCUGUAGGUGUAAUGUGUAGGUGACCCCAUACUUUUGUCCAUAUAGUAUUCUGCACCGCCUACCUUCCCUUAAGCCAUGUUGACCCAGGUUGAUGUGACAGUGUCUCAAAGAGCCUCAUUUGAUGAGCAAAGUUUAUGUUAGUCAGCACUCUUAGGCUUUCUUUAAGCAGAUCUCCAAAGCUUUGAGGUGUGUUUGGCUUCAAUAUCCUGCUGCAGUGUGAAUUCUUCUCCACAAAGAUCUACAUCACUGUUGGAGCACAUCUCUGAAGAAUGGAUCACUGCUUGCCCUCAGUCAGGGUGCAGCUGAUUCACACCAGGUGUUCAGCUCUGGGUCUGGAAACACCACCAGACCUAAACUCUCACUGUCUGAUCCACUGUGGUGUCUCUCCCUCUCCUUACAAAGGCCCUUGUUUUCCUGGCUCUAAUCUCUGAGAGUGAUUGUUAAAAACAAUUUCAAAUAUUUUUGAUUAUUUUCAGGUUCAGAUGAAAGUUUUGCACACAUUAAAUGUGUUCUCAGGCUUUUGGAUCUAGCUAUGUAUAACAUGUAUCAAAUCAUGUGAUCAUUUGUCUUCACUGUGUUAUUGUUAUGCUGCUACAGUAUAUCUAAAAAGAUUGUAUAUGUCUUUCUUUAUUAUUUUGCUUUAUUCUUCAUUAAAGUUUCAUUUCACAAAG